Molecule: ribosomal RNA, 760 nt
Filed under: uncultured Nocardioides sp.
Lineage: Bacteria; Bacillati; Actinomycetota; Actinomycetes; Propionibacteriales; Nocardioidaceae
Description: bacterial SSU rRNA
Rfam family: Bacterial small subunit ribosomal RNA
Source: RNAcentral
CAAGUCGAGCGGUAAGGCCCUUUCGGGGGUACACGAGCGGCGAACGGGUGAGUAACACGUGAGUAAUCUGCCCUUCACUUCGGGAUAAGCCUCGGAAACGGGGUCUAAUACCGGAUACGACACUUUUACGCAUGUAAUGGGUGUGGAAAGUUUUUUCGGUGGGGGAUGUGCUCGCGGCCUAUCAGCUUGUUGGUGGGGUAAUGGCCUACCAAGGCUUCGACGGGUAGCCGGCCUGAGAGGGUGACCGGCCACACUGGGUCUGAGACACGGCCCAGACUCCUACGGGAGGCAGCAGUGGGGAAUAUUGGACAAUGGGCGGAAGCCUGAUCCAGCAACGCCGCGUGAGGGAUGACGGCCUUCGGGUUGUAAACCUCUUUCAGCGGGGACGAAGCGCAAGUGACGGUACCCGCAGAAGAAGCACCGGCCAACUACGUGCCAGCAGCCGCGGUAAUACGUAGGGUGCGAGCGUUGUCCGGAAUUAUUGGGCGUAAAGGGCUCGUAGGCGGUUUGUCGCGUCGGGAGUGAAAACGCCGGGCUUAACUCGGUGCUUGCUUUCGAUACGGGCAGACUAGAGGCAUGCAGGGGAGAACGGAAUUCCUGGUGUAGCGGUGAAAUGCGCAGAUAUCAGGAGGAACACCGGUGGCGAAGGCGGUUCUCUGGGCAUGUCCUGACGCUGAGGAGCGAAAGUGUGGGGAGCGAACAGGAUUAGAUAUCCUGGUAGUCCACACCGUAAACGUUGGGCGCUAGGUGUGGGAUCCAU